This is a long non-coding RNA of Poecilia latipinna (sailfin molly), 963 nucleotides long. RefSeq lists it as uncharacterized. The record is from RefSeq and is a predicted model, not a curated record. Lineage: Eukaryota; Metazoa; Chordata; Actinopteri; Cyprinodontiformes; Poeciliidae. The transcript has 3 exons.
UAACCCCUUUUAAGUUUUUUUCUAGCAGUAGUGGCCUUUAUUUGCAGUAGAUUAGACAGGAAAUGGGCAGAGAGAGAACAGGGGAAGACAUGCAGCAGACGGAUGCUUCUAGGACUAAUAGCCUCAAUAUGAGGCGGCCGCUCUUCCUCUACACCGGCCCAUCAGUGGAAAGAAGUUUAAUCUAUCAGUUAUUUACCAUUAAACUGUUUCCAAGUGAUUGCUUUGGGGAAAAGAAAUAUUUCUCCACAACCAAUAAUGUACCAAUAUUGUAAUAUUUUUGUUGCCAAUAUCAGUGUAGCAGGCAAACCAACAGCUAUUUAGACGGUUCACCAAUGAUAAGAAGCUGAAUAAACUAAACAUAAUGAACCAGUGCUCAGUUCUUCUUCUUUAAUCUGUAUUUUGUCUGAAAAAGUAAACAAAAAAAGCAUUCACAUUCACACAGCGUUUAUAACCAAAGCUUAUUUACAUCCAUUUGUGCUCUCCUGUUUCUUUUUGCUCACAGAAACUGAACCUUUAUGUGGAAGAUUUCCCAAAACAGCUGCUCUCAUUCCCGUACUUUAACUAAAUCUCAACAUUUGAUGGAAAAGUUAUGGAUUAAGACUUAGAUUUGCAAUCAACGCCAUCAGUUUGGUAUUCAUCUUUAAUGAAAGUUUGAUGCAUUACAUUUUGUGGCUUUGGGCUUGUGUUCCCAGUGGACCUUCCAUACCUGCCAUAUGGCAGCAUGUUCCCACUAAGACGCAUCCAUAAUGGGGCUAUCAAGAAGCAGUACUGAUUAGUUUUUUCUAUUUAGACUCACAUAUUAGACUUUUUUGCAUAAUUCUCAGAAACAACCACCCAGCGAUCCGCUCCAUGCCUCCCUCUGUUCCAUGAAGCUAGCUUUAUUUGUAAAAGAUCAGGUUUUUGCAGAACCUGGAUGGUUUUUCUGGUGAUUUAUACUGAACCAGAAUCCGUUAAAGGAGCAGA